AUUUUAAUUGGUAAAUAUUCUAGGCAAAGCUUAGAGGUCGCGUUACAUGUUGUACUUUUGGGUCUUCGGAAAUUACGGCUUUGGUUCAGAAUGUUCUGGUAUUCAAAAAAAAAAAAACAAGAAGAAGAUUAAGCAUGUAACUAAUUAAGAAGAUGUACAACAUCCAAACAGAGAAAUUCAACACUUGAUCAAACAUCCAAAGAUUUCCAAUAGC
This 214-nucleotide small RNA is filed under the name Arabidopsis thaliana (thale cress). Its description in RNAcentral is "ATSL078330". Lineage: Eukaryota; Viridiplantae; Streptophyta; Magnoliopsida; Brassicales; Brassicaceae. The record is from RNAcentral.